This 439-nucleotide ribosomal RNA is filed under the name uncultured bacterium. RNAcentral describes it as "partial 16S ribosomal RNA". It matches the Rfam family "Bacterial small subunit ribosomal RNA", at positions 339 to 795 of the family's 1533-position model. The record is from RNAcentral.
CUACGGGUUGCUCCAGUGGGGAAUUUUGCGCAAUGGGGGAAACCCUGACGCAGCAAUACCGCGUGAGUGAAGAAGGCCUUUGGGUCGUAAAGCUCUUUUCUUGGGGAAGAUAGUGACGGUACCCAAGGAAUAAGCACCGGCUAACUCCGUGCCAGCAGCCGCGGUAAUACGGAGGGUGCAAGCGUUGUUCGGAUUUACUGGGCGUAAAGGGCACGUAGGCGGCACAGCAAGUUAAGGGUGAACUCCCGGGGCUCAACUCCGGAACUGCUCUUAAAACUGCUGAGCUAGAGAUAGUCAGAGGCGGGUGGCAUUCCAGGGGGAGAGGUGAAAUUCGUAGAUAUCUGGAGGAACACCGGUGGCGAAGGCGGCCCGCUGGGGCUAUUCUGACGCUAAGGUGCGAAAGCGUGGGGAGCAAACGGGAUUAGAUACCCCGGUAGUC